This 365-nucleotide ribosomal RNA is filed under the name uncultured eukaryote. RNAcentral's name for it is "partial 18S ribosomal RNA". It matches the Rfam family "Eukaryotic small subunit ribosomal RNA", at positions 592 to 976 of the family's 1831-position model. The record is from RNAcentral.
CAAUAGCGUAUAUUUAAGUUGUUGCGGUUAAAAAGCUCGUAGUCGGAUUUUGGCUGAGAACGAUCGGUCCGCCGUUAGGUGUGCACUGAUUGGUCUCAGCUUCCUGGUGAGGAGGUGUGCUUCACGGCCACUUAGUCACCGUGGUUACUUUGAAAAAAUUAGAGUGUUCAAAGCGGGCUUACGCUUGAAUAUAUUAGCAUGGAAUAACACCAUAGGACUCCUGUCCUAUUUCGUUGGUCACGGGACGGGAGUAAUGAUUAAGAGGAACAGUUGGGGGCAUUCGUAUUUCAUUGUCAGAGGUGAAAUUCUUGGAUUUAUGAAAGACGAACUUCUGCGAAAGCAUUUGCCAAGGAUGUUUUCAUUGA